GUCGAGCGGCGGACGGGUGAGUAAUGCCUAGGAAAUUGCCCUGAUGUGGGGGAUAACCAUUGGAAACGAUGGCUAAUACCGCAUAAUGCCUACGGGCCAAAGAGGGGGACCUUCGGGCCUCUCGCGUCAGGAUAUGCCUAGGUGGGAUUAGCUAGUUGGUGAGGUAAUGGCUCACCAAGGCGACGAUCCCUAGCUGGUCUGAGAGGAUGAUCAGCCACACUGGAACUGAGACACGGUCCAAACUCAUACGGGAGGCAGCAGUGGGGAAUAUUGCACAAUGGGCGCAAGCCUGAUGCAGCCAUGCCGCGUGUGUGAAGAAGGCCUUCGGGUUGUAAAGCACUUUCAGUCGUGAGGAAGGUGGUGUAGUUAAUAGCUGCAUUAUUUGACGUUAGCGACAGAAGAAGCACCGGCUAACUCCGUGCCAGCAGCCGCGGUAAUACGGAGGGUGCGAGCGUUAAUCGGAAUUACUGGGCGUAAAGCGCAUGCAGGUGGUUUGUUAAGUCAGAUGUGAAAGCCCGGGGCUCAACCUCGGAAUAGCAUUUGAAACUGGCAGACUAGAGUACUGUAGAGGGGGGUAGAAUUUCAGGUGUAGCGGUGAAAUGCGUAGAGAUCUGAAGGAAUACCGGUGGCGAAGGCGGCCCCCUGGACAGAUACUGACACUCAGAUGCGAAAGCGUGGGGAGCAAACAGGAUUAGAUACCCUGGUAGUCCACGCCGUAAACGAUGUCUACUUGGAGGUUGUGGCCUUGAGCCGUGGCUUUCGGAGCUAACGCGUUAAGUAGACCGCCUGGGGAGUACGGUCGCAAGAUUAAAACUCAAAUGAAUUGACGGGGGCCCGCACAAGCGGUGGAGCAUGUGGUUUAAUUCGAUGCAACGCGAAGAACCUUACCUACUCUUGACAUCCAGAGAACUUUCCAGAGAUGGAUUGGUGCCUUCGGGAACUCUGAGACAGGUGCUGCAUGGCUGUCGUCAGCUCGUGUUGUGAAAUGUUGGGUUAAGUCCCGCAACGAGCGCAACCCUUAUCCUUGUUUGCCAGCGAGUAAUGUCGGGAACUCCAGGGAGACUGCCGGUGAUAAACCGGAGGAAGGUGGGGACGACGUCAAGUCAUCAUGGCCCUUACGAGUAGGGCUACACACGUGCUACAAUGGCGCAUACAGAGGGCAGCAAGCUAGCGAUAGUGAGCGAAUCCCAAAAAGUGCGUCGUAGUCCGGAUUGGAGUCUGCAACUCGACUUCCAUGAAGUCGGAAUCGCUAGUAAUCGUGGAUCAGAAUGCCACGGUGAAUACGUUCCCGGGCCUUGUACACACCGCCCGUCACACCAUGGGAGUGGGCUGCAAAAGAAGUAGGUAG
RNAcentral lists this ribosomal RNA (1348 nucleotides) under Vibrio owensii. RNAcentral's name for it is "16S ribosomal RNA". It matches the Rfam family "Bacterial small subunit ribosomal RNA", at positions 90 to 1433 of the family's 1533-position model. The record is from RNAcentral. Lineage: Bacteria; Pseudomonadati; Pseudomonadota; Gammaproteobacteria; Vibrionales; Vibrionaceae.